Molecule: long non-coding RNA, 490 nt
Filed under: Coturnix japonica (Japanese quail)
Lineage: Eukaryota; Metazoa; Chordata; Aves; Galliformes; Phasianidae
Description: lncRNA (ENSCJPG00005003066.1)
Source: RNAcentral
UUUAUACUUUCAUGAAUACUUAUACUACUUUAAGUUUUUAUUUUCACAGUAGUUGAAUUCAGUGCUACAGCUGGGAUUUUAAGAGAUGCAGUCAGGUACAGUUUCAGGAAAUCGGUAGCAGACUUGUGGAAUUUUUUCAGAAAGGACGUGGCUCUGGGAAACUGGUGUGCCAAGUGAAGCCUGAAUGUAUAUUCAGAACACUCAAAUCACAUCAGGCUCAGGAAAUAAGUUGAGCUGAAACUGUCAGGAUUGUGGGACCAUUUCACAUUAAGGCCCAGUGGGCUUUAGCUGCUUCCAAGGACAGAAAUACUGCAGAAAGAGGACAAGAGAACAGACAAAAAGUAUCCAGCAAUAAGGCCAAGCAACUGGCACUAACAUUAAGGUAACUUCUGUAAGUACUGACAGGGGACAUGGGAAAGGGAAAUCUGAAACUCCCUUGUGUUAUGGAGGUAGUAUGAAGGGACAUGUUUUAGUGGGGAAGUAUUGAUGG